UGCCACGCUAGCCACUGCUAAGCCUUCCC
RNAcentral lists this non-coding RNA (29 nucleotides) under Mus musculus (house mouse). Lineage: Eukaryota; Metazoa; Chordata; Mammalia; Rodentia; Muridae. The record is from RNAcentral.